UUUAAACGGCCGCGGUAUCCUAACCGUGCAAAGGUAGCGUAAUCACUUGUCUUAUAAAUUAAGACCCGUAUGAAUGGUUAAAUGAAUAUUUAACUGUCUCCUUUAACUAAUCAGUGAAACUGAUCUUUCAGUACAAAAGCUGAAAUACCAACAUAAGACGAGAAGACCCCGUGGAGCUUAAANUUUUUAACAAAAUAUUGUAAAGCAUAUAUUCUGCCAUAAAAUUUUUAGUUGGGGCGACUUUGGAGUAAAACUUAACCUCCAAGAAAAGGCACCGCCUACACCAAGGCCUACAAGCCAAACUACAUAGACCCAGUAUCAAAUACUGAUCAACGAACCAAGUUACCCCAGGGAUAACAGCGCCAUCUUCUUCAAG
Molecule: ribosomal RNA, 376 nt
Filed under: Anolis tropidonotus
Lineage: Eukaryota; Metazoa; Chordata; Lepidosauria; Squamata; Anolidae
Description: partial 16S ribosomal RNA
Rfam family: Bacterial large subunit ribosomal RNA
Source: RNAcentral